AGCUAUGGCCAUCUCACCCUGAACUCACCUAAUCUCAGAAGCUAAGCAGGGUCAGCUUGGUUAGUACUUGGAUGAGAGAAGUAGCUUGGGAGCUGUUCCAU
This 101-nucleotide ribosomal RNA is filed under the name Nannospalax galili (Upper Galilee mountains blind mole rat). The record is from RNAcentral. Lineage: Eukaryota; Metazoa; Chordata; Mammalia; Rodentia; Spalacidae.